AGCGCCGUAGAGCAGUUGGUAGCUCGCUGGGCCCAUAACCCAGAGGUCGCCAGUUCGAGCCUGGUCGGCGCCA
This 73-nucleotide transfer RNA is filed under the name Streptomyces turgidiscabies Car8. It matches the Rfam family "tRNA". From Rfam's summary of the family: Transfer RNA (tRNA) molecules are approximately 80 nucleotides in length. Their secondary structure includes four short double-helical elements and three loops (D, anti-codon, and T loops). Further hydrogen bonds mediate the characteristic L-shaped molecular structure. tRNAs have two regions of fundamental functional importance: the anti-codon, which is responsible for specific mRNA codon recognition, and the 3' end, to which the tRNAs corresponding amino acid is attached (by aminoacyl-tRNA synthetases). tRNAs cope with the degeneracy of the genetic code in two manners: having more than one tRNA (with a specific anti-codon) for a particular amino acid; and 'wobble' base-pairing, i.e. permitting non-standard base-pairing at the 3rd anti-codon position. The record is from Rfam by way of RNAcentral. Lineage: Bacteria; Bacillati; Actinomycetota; Actinomycetes; Kitasatosporales; Streptomycetaceae.